Molecule: non-coding RNA, 87 nt
Organism: Homalodisca vitripennis (glassy-winged sharpshooter)
Lineage: Eukaryota; Metazoa; Arthropoda; Insecta; Hemiptera; Cicadellidae
Source: the annotation of a RefSeq genome assembly
GCCCAGUUGAACCUCGGCGGUCCGGGGCGUAGGCUUCAAACCUGCGGCCGAUUAGCGUCGGAGUGGUUCGACUCCACCUACUGGGCG